CCUACGGGAGGCAGCAGUGAGGAAUAUUGGUCAAUGGUCGGGAGACUGAACCAGCCAAGCCGCGUGAGGGAUGAAGGUACAGAGUAUCGUAAACCUCUUUUGUCAGGGAACAAAGGCGGGGACGUGUCCCCGGAUGAGUGUACCUGAAGAAAAAGCAUCGGCUAACUCCGUGCCAGCAGCCGCGGUAAUACGGAGGAUGCGAGCGUUAUCCGGAUUUAUUGGGUGUAACGGGGGCGCAGGCGGUCUGUUAAGUCAGCGGUAAAAGCCCGGGGCUCAACCCCGGCCCGCCGUUGAAACGGGCAGUCUCGAGUUGGAGAGAAGUAUGCGGAAUGCGCGGUGGAGCGGUGAAAUGCAUAGAUAUCGCGCAGAACUCCGAUUGCGAAGGCAGCAUGCCGGCUCCACACUGACGCUGAGGCACGAAAGCGUGGGUAUCGAACAGGAUUAGAUACCCCUGUAGUC
Molecule: ribosomal RNA, 459 nt
Filed under: uncultured bacterium
Lineage: Bacteria
Description: partial 16S ribosomal RNA
Rfam family: Bacterial small subunit ribosomal RNA
Source: RNAcentral